RNAcentral lists this ribosomal RNA (450 nucleotides) under uncultured bacterium. Its description in RNAcentral is "bacterial SSU rRNA". It matches the Rfam family "Bacterial small subunit ribosomal RNA", at positions 354 to 796 of the family's 1533-position model. The record is from RNAcentral.
GUGGGGAAUAUUGGACAAUGGGCGAAAGCCUGAUCCAGCCAUGCCGCGUGUGUGAAGAAGGUCUUCGGAUUGUAAAGCACUUUAAGUUGGGAGGAAGGGCAGUAAGCUAAUACCUUGCUGUUUUGACGUUACCGACAGAAUAAGCACCGGCUAACUUCGUGCCAGCAGCCGCGGUAAUACGAAGGGUGCAAGCGUUAAUCGGAAUUACUGGGCGUAAAGCGCGCGUAGGUGGUUUUGUAAGUUGGAGGUGAAAUCCCCGGGCUCAACCUGGGAACUGCCUCCAAAACUGCAUGACUAGAGUACGGUAGAGGGUAGUGGAAUUUCCUGUGUAGCGGUGAAAUGCGUAGAUAUAGGAAGGAACACCAGUGGCGAAGGCGACUACCUGGACUGAUACUGACACUGAGGUGCGAAAGCGUGGGGAGCAAACAGGAUUAGAUACCCCAGUAGUCC